GAUGAACGCUAGCUACAGGCUUAACACAUGCAAGUCGAGGGGAAACGACAUCGAAAGCUUGCUUUUGAUGGGCGUCGACCGGCGCACGGGUGAGUAACGCGUAUCCAACCUGCCCAUCACUUGGGGAUAACCUUGCGAAAGUAAGACUAAUACCCAAUGAUAUCUCUAGAAGACAUCUGAAAGAGAUUAAAGAUUUAUCGGUGAUGGAUGGGGAUGCGUCUGAUUAGCUUGUUGGCGGGGUAACGGCCCACCAAGGCAACGAUCAGUAGGGGUUCUGAGAGGAAGGUCCCCCACAUUGGAACUGAGACACGGUCCAAACUCCUACGGGAGGCAGCAGUGAGGAAUAUUGAUCAAUGGGCGAGAGCCUGAACCAGCCAAGUAGCGUGCAGGAAGACGGCCCUAUGGGUGGUAAACUGCUUUUAUAAGGGAAUAAAGUGAGAGUCGUGACUCUUUUUGUAUGUACCUUAUGAAUAAGGACCGGCUAAUUCCGUG
RNAcentral lists this ribosomal RNA (492 nucleotides) under uncultured bacterium. Its description in RNAcentral is "partial 16S ribosomal RNA". It matches the Rfam family "Bacterial small subunit ribosomal RNA", at positions 28 to 507 of the family's 1533-position model. The record is from RNAcentral.